Molecule: small RNA, 30 nt
Filed under: Bombyx mori (domestic silkworm)
Lineage: Eukaryota; Metazoa; Arthropoda; Insecta; Lepidoptera; Bombycidae
Description: ovarian small RNA-10328
Source: RNAcentral
AACCGGAUCAUUGCGUCGCGGCAGGCGGCA